Molecule: long non-coding RNA, 505 nt
Organism: Rhinopithecus roxellana (golden snub-nosed monkey)
Lineage: Eukaryota; Metazoa; Chordata; Mammalia; Primates; Cercopithecidae
Exons: 3
Source: RefSeq, a predicted model, not a curated record
CCUCCUGGGUUCAAGUGAUUCUUCUGCCUCAGCCUCCCCAGUAGCUGGGAUUACAGAUUGCAUCCGUCUAUUCUGAAAGAUGAGCAACAAAUCCAAUCAAAGCCUGAGUGAAAUAACUGACAAUCUUAAAGCAACCCUGAUGGUCAUUCAUGAGUCCAGCAGUUUCUAUGCAGAGCACCAAACACUUUACUUACAAAAGUAAGAGGAAAACGCACCCUUCUCUUAACAAGAAUUUGGAGUUAAAACGAGACAGAUUCCAUUCCUGCCUUCCACAUUAAUUGGCCAGGUGACUUUGGGCAAAUCACUUAACCUCUAGGUUUUCUCUCUGCAGAAUGAAAGCGGUGGCCUGUACACACCCAUUUAAAUCCCUCCUCCAAAUAUUCAUUUGUUCGAUAUUUUCGCAGUGUCUACUAAGCACAAUCAUUGUUAAUAAACACUAUGAUUCUUGGAGCGCUCCAAAUUGUGUCUUUGCUUUUAAGCAUCACUCCCCUUCCUCCUUUAAAAC